AUUGAACGCUGGCGGCAUGCCUUACACAUGCAAGUCGAACGGUAACGCGGGGCAACCUGGCGACGAGUGGCGAACGGGUGAGUAAAGCAUCGGAACGUGCCCAGUAGUGGGGGAUAGCCCGGCGAAAGCCGGAUUAAUACCGCAUACGACCUACGGGUGAAAGGGGGGGAUCGCAAGACCUCUCGCUAUUGGAGCGGCCGAUGUCAGAUUAGGUAGUUGGUGGGGUAAAGGCCUACCAAGCCGACGAUCUGUAGCUGGUUUGAGAGGACGACCAGCCCCACUGGGACUGAGACACGGCCCAGACUCCUACGGGAGGCAGCAGUGGGGAAUUUUGGACAAUGGGGGCAACCCUGAUCCAGCCAUGCCGCGUGUUUGAAGAAGGCCUUCGGGUUGUAAAGGACUUUUGUCGGGGAGCAAAACCUAAUGGUUAAUACCUGUUAGGGAUGAGAGUACCAAGAGAAUAAGCACCGGCUAACUACGUG
This 482-nucleotide ribosomal RNA is filed under the name uncultured bacterium. RNAcentral describes it as "bacterial SSU rRNA". It matches the Rfam family "Bacterial small subunit ribosomal RNA", at positions 30 to 507 of the family's 1533-position model. The record is from RNAcentral.